This 288-nucleotide unclassified non-coding RNA is filed under the name plant metagenome. Its description in RNAcentral is "partial contains small subunit ribosomal RNA, internal transcribed spacer 1, and 5.8S ribosomal RNA". The record is from RNAcentral.
UUUCCGUAGGUGAACCUGCGGAAGGAUCAUUAACGAAUUUUGAAGUGGGCUUGAUGCUGGCGUCGUAACUGUUGCAUGUGCUCAGCCCCGCUUUUAAAAUCCACUCAACACCUGUGCACUUUCAAAGUUGUAGUCCUCCGUAAUGGGAGUCGCGGAUUUGUUAACUCGAGUCUGCUGGGAUUACGCUUUGCCCCUUCAUUACAAACUAUAUACAUUGUUUUGUAGAAUGUGUUAGCCUCUAGUAGGCGAAACUUAAUACAACUUUCAACAACGGAUCUCUUGGCUCUC